This 856-nucleotide ribosomal RNA is filed under the name uncultured Corynebacterium sp. Its description in RNAcentral is "bacterial SSU rRNA". It matches the Rfam family "Bacterial small subunit ribosomal RNA". Lineage: Bacteria; Bacillati; Actinomycetota; Actinomycetes; Mycobacteriales; Corynebacteriaceae. The record is from RNAcentral.
GACGAACGCUGGCGGCGUGCUUAACACAUGCAAGUCGAACGGUAAGGCUCCAGCUUGCUGGGGUACACGAGUGGCGAACGGGUGAGUAACACGUGGGUGACCUGCCCUGCACUUCGGGAUAAGCCUGGGAAACUGGGUCUAAUACCGGAUAGGACCGCACCGUGAGGGUGUGGUGGAAAGUUUUUUCGGUGUGGGAUGGGCCCGCGGCCUAUCAGCUUGUUGGUGGGGUAAUGGCCUACCAAGGCGGCGACGGGUAGCCGGCCUGAGAGGGUGGACGGCCACAUUGGGACUGAGACACGGCCCAGACUCCUACGGGAGGCAGCAGUGGGGAAUAUUGCACAAUGGGCGGAAGCCUGAUGCAGCGACGCCGCGUGGGGGAUGACGGCCUUCGGGUUGUAAACUCCUUUCACCAUCGACGAAGGGUUUCUGACGGUAGAUGGAGAAGAAGCACCGGCUAACUACGUGCCAGCAGCCGCGGUAAUACGUAGGGUGCGAGCGUUGUCCGGAAUUACUGGGCGUAAAGAGCUCGUAGGUGGUUUGUCGCGUCGUCUGUGAAAUUCCGGGGCUUAACUCCGGGCGUGCAGGCGAUACGGGCAUAACUUGAGUACUGUAGGGGAGACUGGAAUUUCUUGGUGUAGCGGUGAAAUGCGCAAAUAUCAGGAGGAACACCGGUGGCGAAAGCGGGUCUCUGGGCAGUAACUGACGCUGAGGAGCGAAAGCAUGGGGAGCGAACAGGAUUAAUUACCUCGGUAGUCCACGGGCGAAUUCCACAGUGGAUAUCAAGCUUAUCGAUACCUCCACCUCGCGGGGGGAGAAAAAAUAUCAAACUUUUGUUCCCUUUGUGAGGGGUAAUUAA